RNAcentral lists this non-coding RNA (79 nucleotides) under Palpitomonas bilix. The record is from RNAcentral.
AAAAAGAAAGAAGAAAACAAAUUUUUGUUUUUGUGCUUCUUUUCUGCUAUACUUGCUUCUUCUUGCUGUUCUUUUUCUU